UCCGCUACUCUUUCCAUCGAUGUUGAUAGCGGCCACACGGCUCACUCAGACCAUUAGGAUAUCGAAAACAGCCGACAAACGAUAUAAUCAUCCGAAACCUUUUUCUAUAUAUCGCCUCAGAUAACGGUUGAUGGUAAUACGGAAGAUAUAUGUCGCAGUUGAUGAACAACUUUUAUUACGCAAACGUGGGAAAUGGUUCUGUUGAAGAGCUUGAAUUGGCUGGUCUCGUUUACCUCAUUGGUAAUACACACCGGAACAUUUAUUCACUGCACAAGAAACGCCAAGUAGAAUUGCCGUUCGUAGACUCUCCCCCCCGCUACCCCUCUUUGUACAGAGGCAACUGCUCUCUGGUGCAGCCUGACUGUGUUUAUGCACGGCCAACGAACCCCGUUUGCCGACACGAAAACUUGCUAAGAAGCAACAAAUUCACGAUUAAGGGAUUUCAAACUCUUUUGCGUCCGCCUUCAGUUCAAGAGUAACAACGACAAAAGCCGUUGUUGUCUCCCUAGACAGAGUCAGAACUAGCCCUAAAUACUGUAAUUGUGCUGUGUUGUAGAAUGCCUUUGCUCGUCUGCAGCAUCUUCUUUCGUAAGCUUCAUUCAACAGCUACAAAACUUACAUGCAACCACAGGGGGGAAUGUUGUACGUUGUAAAUUAAAACAAAUGUUCGCAUACUUUUCUACUGCGUGGAGAAACCGCUCAUCUAGUACACAGGCAAUGAGACUUCGCGCUUACUCGGUGGCAUAUAGUACGGAAAUGACUAUGCUGGGACCUGCGGCAAAGUACACCCUGGAGCUAUUACCUCUUGCAUUCGUUGGACGAACAGCCUCAACCGUUACCCAGCACCCCUUUGCUGCAGUACAGACAUUUGUACAGCCUCGCCAUUAUAAAGGCGUUGAAGCUUGAUGAAAAAGAGAUGUUGCCCUUCCCGUAGAAGGUCAAGUCAUUCGAGAGGAUUAUUGCGAAUCUGAUGUUGGGCUGACUGAGCUAAUGAACUGCUGGCUAAGGUUAUCUAAGUAGGCAAAACAUCGGAUGGCGUUUAAGAUGAGCUAAAAGAAUCAAGGAAGAGGACAGACGAUUUGAAGAUAAUAGCAAGCUGCAGCCUAAAUAUCUUCGAAGCUAAAUGUUUAGCCGCUCAGACCAUAUAAAUCCGAAUUAAAUAAAAACAGAAC
Long non-coding RNA from Varroa destructor (honeybee mite), 1172 nucleotides. NCBI's taxonomy places the organism in Eukaryota, Metazoa, Arthropoda, Arachnida, Mesostigmata, Varroidae. The record is from RefSeq and is a predicted model, not a curated record.